UACGGGGGGAGCAAGCGUUGUUCGGAUUUACUGGGCGUAAAGGGCGCGUAGGCGGUCAGCACAGGUCAGUUGUGAAAUCUCCGGGCUUAACUCGGAAAGGUCAACUGAUACUGUGCGACUAGAGUGCAGAAGGGGCGACUGGAAUUCUCGGUGUAGCGGUGAAAUGCGUAGAUAUCGAGAGGAACACCUGCGGCGAAGGCGGGUUGCUGGGCUGACACUGACGCUGAUGCGCGAAAGCCAGGGGAGCGAACGGG
This 254-nucleotide ribosomal RNA is filed under the name uncultured bacterium. Its description in RNAcentral is "partial 16S ribosomal RNA". It matches the Rfam family "Bacterial small subunit ribosomal RNA", at positions 524 to 776 of the family's 1533-position model. The record is from RNAcentral.